Molecule: long non-coding RNA, 806 nt
Organism: Spodoptera frugiperda (fall armyworm)
Lineage: Eukaryota; Metazoa; Arthropoda; Insecta; Lepidoptera; Noctuidae
Exons: 2
Source: RefSeq, a predicted model, not a curated record
UUCAGACUUGGUAAUAAAUGACAGGAGUUUCUUAUCACGUAUUACGUGACUGUCUUGUUCUAACGAUUAGGUAUGUCGAUUCAAUUUCGUUGAUCAAUACUGGACUUCUAGAUACUUCUAAAGAGGUAAGGAGAGGUUAUCAAUGCACGGUGUGGUGAUGUUAUUUAUAAAUUUUACAACUAAACAUCACACCUCUUCGGUUAGCCAAUAAUACCCCCGGUUUUCCCUGAACGUUUAGUCGGACUGCAGCACUGUUAUAAAACGUAAAACUGAAUAGUGCCCGCUGUAAAGUAGGUGUUACUUAUAUAUACGUGCUUCUCUACCUACCCCUUCGGAAAAUAAAAGACGUGAUGUUAUAUUAAAUUUGUUCAUUGUAUUUGCUAUCAUCAUCGACAAUGUUUUCAUAAUAAAUUACGUUUGAUGUGCCUCUGUACAAUUGAAUCGAAACGAAUUCAGUCGCAGUUAUAAAAAUAAAGCAACGUGUAGUUCGGUAAAUAAUUAUCCCCCACAGAUAUCUACGAGUAUCGAUUAUUCGGAGCUGCGGCUAAAACAGACAAGUUCCUGGCAUUCGUGAAAAUCAAUAGUUCGCGAAACUGUGUGUUGGUACGAGCCCCCCAGUAUCUUAACAUCAUUAUCACGUCCAAAAGUUAAACAUAACAUGCCUCUUGUGACAAAUAGAUAGCAAACAUUAAAUAAAGACAUAAAUAUCUAUUUUAGUAAUGUUUAAAAAAAUAAUGAUUUGUAUGUUUGCUUACAUUGAAAAAAUAUAUUUCAUCACUAAAAAUAAACUUUCAAUGGAAAUCUUA